RNAcentral lists this ribosomal RNA (450 nucleotides) under uncultured bacterium. RNAcentral describes it as "partial 16S ribosomal RNA". It matches the Rfam family "Bacterial small subunit ribosomal RNA", at positions 354 to 796 of the family's 1533-position model. The record is from RNAcentral.
GUGGGGAAUAUUGGGCAAUGGGGGAAACCCUGACCCAGCGACGCCGCGUGAGGGAUGAAGGUUUUCGGAUCGUAAACCUCUGUCAGAAGGGAAGAAACUACAUUGUGCUAAUCAGCAGUGUACUGACGGUACCUUCAAAGGAAGCACCGGCUAACUCCGUGCCAGCAGCCGCGGUAAUACGGAGGGUGCAAGCGUUAAUCGGAAUUACUGGGCGUAAAGCGCACGUAGGCUGUAGUGUAAGUCAGGGGUGAAAUCCCACGGCUCAACCGUGGAACUGCCUUUGAUACUGCACAACUUGAAUCCGGGAGAGGGUGGCGGAAUUCCAGGUGUAGGAGUGAAAUCCGUAGAUAUCUGGAGGAACAUCAGUGGCGAAGGCGGCCACCUGGACCGGUAUUGACGCUGAGGUGCGAAAGCGUGGGAAGCAAACAGGAUUAGAAACCCCAGUAGUCC